AUUGAACGCUGGCGGCAGGCCUAACACAUGCAAGUCGAGCGGAUGAAGGGAGCUUGCUCCUGGAUUCAGCGGCGGACGGGUGAGUAAUGCCUAGGAAUCUGCCUGGUAGUGGGGGAUAACGUCCGGAAACGGGCGCUAAUACCGCAUCCGUCCUGAGGGAGAAAGUGGGGGAUCUUCGGACCUCACGCUAUCAGAUGAGCCUAGGUCGGAUUAGCUAGUUGGUGGGGUAACGGCCUACCAAGGCGACGAUUCGUAACUGGUCUGAGAGGAUGAUCAGUCACACUGGAACUGAGACACGGUCCAGACUCCUACGGGAGGCAGCAGUGGGGAAUAUUGGACAAUGGGCGAAAGCCUGAUCCAGCCAUGCCGCGUGUGUGAAGAAGGUCUUCGGAUUGUAAAGCACUUUAAGUUGGGAGGAAGGGCAGUAAGUUAAUACCUUGCUGUUUUGACGUUACCAACAGAAUAAGCACCGGCUAACUUCGUG
Molecule: ribosomal RNA, 484 nt
Filed under: uncultured bacterium
Lineage: Bacteria
Description: partial 16S ribosomal RNA
Rfam family: Bacterial small subunit ribosomal RNA
Source: RNAcentral